ACGAAAUUCAGGACGUUUGGUGUCAAAGAAGCAACGCUUCUUCAAAACCUGGCAACCAAAUGCUGCUGAAAACGCUGGAACAGAAGACGCGGCACAAUCACGCAAGUUGCUCAAAUCACUUUGGCAUCGGGACAUAUCAGCAGCCAAACUGAUCAUGUACAAAGGUCUUUGCACGCUGCUUGACAUUCCGAUACAUCCAGCACUGCUGCAACGACCAGAUGACGACGGCGUUCCACUUAAUCCAUAAUUCAAAAUCCAGCGUUUAGCAUUAAAGUUUUUUUUAACAAAUAUUUUCUAAUAGUUUAUUAGAGUUCUCAAGCCUUGCACUUAGUGGGCUAUUUUAAGGUUUAUAAGGUGUCUAACUUUAUUUACCGCAGUACAUGAGUGGUUUUAUAGACGUUAUUUGAUGAUCAGAAUGAGUCGUGUUCAUUUUCCGGUUUGACAAUGUCGCCGCAUUCUUUGGAUAUGACUUGUUCAAUGCAUCAUAUCACGGUUAUGAAAAACACCCUAAUGCACCCCUGUUAUUCUUCGUCCAGAGAACUUAAUAUUUUUAACCAUUUAUGCAAGCAUACUCUAUUUUUUCAAAAACCAAUUCGUUCAAUUGAAGUAUCGGGCGCCGCCAAAUGUACAAAUGAUUAGUUCACCAAUUUGGACAAACAUACUCGCCUUUUCUAACAACCAAAGUCAGAAAAACAUACUCCUGUUUAUUGGUAUUCUAAACUAACAAAAUACAUACUCUUGUUUAACGCAAAUCAAGGUCUAUGAUUUGAAAUAAUAUAUUUUGUCUGGAUUGAAUUAAAACUACGGUGAGUU
Molecule: long non-coding RNA, 813 nt
Organism: Sitodiplosis mosellana (orange wheat blossom midge)
Lineage: Eukaryota; Metazoa; Arthropoda; Insecta; Diptera; Cecidomyiidae
Exons: 3
Source: RefSeq, a predicted model, not a curated record